UAGAUAAAAGUUCGCUGGAUUGAACACUUAGCUGUUAAUUAAGAUGUUGCAGGAUCAAGGCCUGUUUAUCUAG
This 73-nucleotide transfer RNA is filed under the name Bathyraja eatonii (Eaton's skate). RNAcentral's name for it is "tRNA-Asn". The record is from RNAcentral. RNAcentral also lists the same sequence under 16 other names. Lineage: Eukaryota; Metazoa; Chordata; Chondrichthyes; Rajiformes; Arhynchobatidae.